This 345-nucleotide ribosomal RNA is filed under the name Triticum aestivum (bread wheat). Its description in RNAcentral is "partial small subunit ribosomal RNA". The record is from RNAcentral. Lineage: Eukaryota; Viridiplantae; Streptophyta; Magnoliopsida; Poales; Poaceae.
AUGCCUCCCAUAUUGCCAUGUCAGCCUCUAACCUUUUCACCCUUCCUAGCAAACCGUUGUUUGGCUAUGUUACCGCUUUGCUCAGCCGCUCUUAUAGCGUUGUUAGUUGCAGGUGAAGUUGAAGAUUGCUCAAUGAUGGACAAGAUUAUGUUGGGAUAUCACAAUAUCUCUUAUUUAAUUAAUGCAUCUACAUACUUGGUAAAGGGUGGAAGGCUCGGCCUUAUGCCUGGUGUUUUGUUCUACUCUUGCCGCCCUAGUUUCCAUCAUACCGGUGUUAUGUUCCUUGAUUUUGCGUUCCUUACGCUGUUGGGUGAUUUAUGGGACCCCCUUGAUAGUUCACUUUGA